CUAUUUCCAGUUACCCCCUCGAAUUUCCAAACCCUAAUUUUAUCUCAUUCGUUUGCGACACGAGACAGAGAGACAUUAGAGAUGGAGAGAAGAGAGAAGAGAGGAGACGGAGAGAAGAGAUGACAAAAGAAGAUGAAGAGUCGACGGCGGGAAGAAGCUAGACAGAGCUUGGAGAUGACAGAGGAAGAAGAAGCAACGAGCUUCACGGAGAAGGAUUCAACCUCCAAUUUCUUUCCCCCUCUUCACAAUGUGUCUCUUUCCCUCUGUCAGGUCUUGCUCAUGUGUAAUUGGUGGCGGUAGAGGAGAGGAACCGAAAGUUAAAGAAGAAGAGACCUUUUGUGAAGCUCAAAAGCCACAAGAUAAGGGUGGUGGAUUUCUAACGCCGUAGCGAGAAUUCUGGGUUAUUUGAUAUUUGUCAGCGAAUUUGAAAGCGGAUCUGAGAGAAGCAGAGAUAAGCUCGUUAAAGUGUUGGCAGCCUAUCGGAACCAGAUGCUUAAAUACAAGGAGAAUACAGUGAGCCCAACAAUUAUCUCCCAGCACUUUAUCUAUCUUAUGUUGUAAGAGCAAUCGACACAAUGACUGGAAUGCCAUGGGAACUCCCGAUUUCAGUCCUGGGUAUAUUCUGUAUGUUCCAUUGCUAGAUAUUUACCCACUACAUAACCAAAGGGGAUCACUUGACCUACAAUUACCUGUUUUUCAGAUUAUGGGCAGAACAGCCACCUCGUCCGUCUCAGCUGCCUCACAUCUAGACAACUCCAACUGAAGCGGCAGCUACACAUGCCUUGAACGACCUUUCCCUAUCCCAGAACCAACAGUCAUGUUUUCAGUUUUAACUUUGGAUGUCUUAUUCUUCUUUUCCUUGUUUAUCUCUUUUGUGUAAGUUGUAUUAUCCAUGACGAUUUUAUUAUGUUUAAAGAUUUAAGUUUUCUGUUA
Long non-coding RNA from Brassica oleracea var. oleracea, 933 nucleotides. RefSeq lists it as uncharacterized. Lineage: Eukaryota; Viridiplantae; Streptophyta; Magnoliopsida; Brassicales; Brassicaceae. The record is from RefSeq and is a predicted model, not a curated record. The transcript is spliced from 5 exons.